This 54-nucleotide ribosomal RNA is filed under the name Monosporascus cannonballus. RNAcentral describes it as "partial 28S ribosomal RNA". The record is from RNAcentral. Lineage: Eukaryota; Fungi; Ascomycota; Sordariomycetes; Xylariales.
AAUGGUUGACCUCGGAUCAGGUAGGACUACCCGCUGAACUUAAGCAUAUCAAUA